GCUUUGGAGGGCGGGACUGAAUGGGGGUUAAUCAGAGGAUGCGAUUGCUGACCAUUUGCACUUUGGCAUGGCCCAUCCCCUAAUUUCUGACCAGAAGCCCUCCCUGUACCCUAAGCUCGUGCGUCACGACGCCGCCAGCUGAUCGGAGCCUGGAGCCGGUGUGUGCUGGGCGCCGUGAAGAGACAGCGCCGCCGGCCGUGGGGAGAGGACGCAGUGAUUUGCUCCCCUCUGCGCAGCAACCCCCACACCCAGCACCAGGCCCCCAGAACUCUCCUUCCAGCUGAACUCCCUGGGAACAAAUCAUUUGGGCUGAUGACUGAACUCAUAUUUCUGGACCUGAGGAGCCUGUUCCUCUCACACCCUCACCUGGCUGAGCCGCAGUAGUUCUUCAGUGGCAAGCUUUAUGUCCUGACCCAGCUAAAGCUGCCAGUUGAAGAACUGUUGCCCUCUGCCCCUGGCUUCGAGGAGGAGGAGGAGCCGCUUUCCCCGUCAUCUGGAAGGUGACAGAAAUGGGCUGGGAAGGUCCGAACAGCAGGGUUGAUGAUACGUUUUGGGAAAGCUGGAGAGCCUUUGCCCAGAUUGGCCCAGCAAGGAGCGGUUUUAGAUUAGAGACACUGGCUGAAUUGAGGAGUAGAAGGCUCAAACAACCCCAGGUUAGUUGGUCUUUGUGUGACAGUGGGAAGAAGUGGAGAGAACACUCUGUCUCCCGGACUUCCUUCUUGACCCUCCUUCCGUAUCUCUUAUUCUUCCCCACUGGCCUUUCCAGAUGAGGUCCGAAAGUAAGCUCACUCUUCAAGGAAAAGUGACACUAAACCCGGGGCUUUCUGCCUCCAAGAUGUGGCGCCAUAGUGCAGCGCCCUGUGGCUUCACCGCCCUACUUCCACCUCCGCCCAGCCUGCAGUGUUUAUGUAAAGCAGCCUCAAGGACCAAGAGCCAUCUGCGAAAGGACAUACACAGGAAAUUCAUAAAAGAAAUUGGAAUGGAUAAAA
This is a non-coding RNA of Chlorocebus sabaeus (green monkey), 989 nucleotides long. The record is from RefSeq and is a predicted model, not a curated record. Lineage: Eukaryota; Metazoa; Chordata; Mammalia; Primates; Cercopithecidae.